Mauremys reevesii (Reeves's turtle) is the source of this 1145-nucleotide long non-coding RNA. RefSeq lists it as uncharacterized. Lineage: Eukaryota; Metazoa; Chordata; Testudines; Geoemydidae. The transcript has 5 exons. The record is from RefSeq and is a predicted model, not a curated record.
GGGGGGAAGUCAUGGAAUAUAUACAGACAACACACCUUGAACUCCAGCUACUGUAAGUUAACAGCAUACGUUAAUGUGGUGGAAUCCUUUCUAUUUUGGAUCAAGGUGUUCCGGACAUCUGAGGAACAUGAUCUCUCUGACAUCGAGCCAAUAGCCAAGUGGUGAGGUGGAGGGAGAUUGGAUUUAAAUAUGACAGCUCCCAGGAUCCUCUGCAUAUGGAAUGGGUACAAUAGAAUAAAUGGAGCUUUCAAGCAGUACAAUUUUUAGUGAAUAAAUGAAGACUCAGCACACCACUUCUGAAAGGUUGCGGACCCCUGCACUAAAGGGACAAUAUGGGAGUCUCCACAAAUACAGAGAUGUUCUCACAACCUGGAAAACAGUGAAGAACUGCCAACCUACUUCUGCAAAGACAGCAGGAUAAAGGUGAGCCUGUUGACCAGCUUGCACAAGGCCAGCCAGCACAGAGAAGCAAGCUAAAAUCUGGGUCCCCACUUUUUAACAGGGUGAAGAAGAGGCCACACAAACAGACUACUGGCUCUCUUUCCAGAGAUAGCCGACAAUGGGGAAGCACCCUCCCCUCCAUCUAGAACACCAGCUGACUCCCCUGAUAAAUUAAUCUAUUUGCAUCCCAAAGCCUUCACAUACAUGGAGUUGGACUGUACAUUUUUAUUGCACUGUAAAAUGAGAGGCAAAUAGAAGAGGAACAGUUCCUGCAUUAAGAACAUUUCUCUCUGUUACAGUAGCUUCUUUCUCACUCCUGUUUCUUUCUGACACCCCAGAAUUCUUCUCACCAGCUGUCACAGUGCAUUAUGGGAAGUGCCAUCUGUACUGGCAUUUCCUGAAUUAAGAACCACCACAAGAUCCUCUUUGUUAAUACUAGAGUGCUUCAAAGGAGGCACCAGCGGCUCUGGUACCUCCAAGGACACAAUCUCAGAUUAAAAGGAUAGAAAAAAGUCACCACCUUUUCUUUGCACCAACUGUCAAUUUUGCAAGUAUACCAUACCAGUUUUGAAAGAACAUCUGACAAAAGGGAGACAAGGCAGUUUUACAUCUUCAGCUGUCAGAUCAAGAGUAAAGACAGAAUAAAUGUGUCUGUGUAUAUGGCAUUUCUUUGAAGUUCCCAGAUUACUUCAAAGGUGCACUCC